Molecule: ribosomal RNA, 490 nt
Filed under: uncultured bacterium
Lineage: Bacteria
Description: SSU rRNA
Rfam family: Bacterial small subunit ribosomal RNA
Source: RNAcentral
AGAGCGAACGCUGGCGGCGUGCUUAACACAUGCAAGUCGAACGCGCAGCAUUCUGUAGCAAUACAGGAUGUGGGCGCGUGGCGAACGGGUGCGUAACACGUGGAUAACCUUCCUUCAGGUGGGGAAUAACCCAGCGAAAGUUGGGCUAAUACCGCAUAACAUGACGAUGCCACAUGGUGUUGUCUUCAAAGGCGCAAGUCGCCAGAAGAGGGAUCCGCGGCCGAUUAGCUUGUUGGCGAGGUAAUGGCUCACCAAGGCAUUGAUCGGUAGCCGGACUGAGAGGUUGGCCGGCCACACUGGAACUGAGACACGGUCCAGACUCCUACGGGAGGCAGCAGUGGGGAAUCUUGCACAAUGGACGAAAGUCUGAUGCAGCAACGCCGCGUGGGGAUGAAGCUUCUCGGAGUGUAAACCCCUUCGACCCGGACGAAUGCCCGCAAGGGUUUGACGGUACGGGUAUAAGAACGCCCGGCUAACGUACGUGCCAGCA